Molecule: ribosomal RNA, 252 nt
Filed under: uncultured bacterium
Lineage: Bacteria
Description: partial 16S ribosomal RNA
Rfam family: Bacterial small subunit ribosomal RNA
Source: RNAcentral
UACGUAGGCAGCGAGCGUUGUCCGGAUUUAUUGGGCGUAAAGAGCGUGUAGGCGGUCUGGUAGGUCCGUUGUGAAAACUCGAGCUCAACCUCGAGACGCCGAUGGAAACCCUCAGACUAGAGUCCGGAAGAGGAGAGUGGAAUUCCUGGUGUAGCGGUGAAAUGCGCAGAUAUCAGGAAGAACACCCGUGGCUAAGGCGGCUCUCUAGUACGUGACUGACGCUGAGACGCGAAAGCGUGGGGAGCGAACAGG